Molecule: long non-coding RNA, 228 nt
Organism: Thalassophryne amazonica
Lineage: Eukaryota; Metazoa; Chordata; Actinopteri; Batrachoidiformes; Batrachoididae
Exons: 3
Source: RefSeq, a predicted model, not a curated record
ACACAGAGGGACAAAUAACAAUCCCAGACAUAUGAGUUCAGAGAGGGAUAUUUCAGGGAGACAGACUCUCACCACUUUUAUUCUGUUUAAUCAUAGACCAGCUCAGCAACAUCCUGAAGGAGCAUGACAUCCAGUAUGACUUAAGUAGAAACAGAGGAAGGAAAAACCAAAAACCUGUGAACCAUCUGCUGUUCAUGGAUGAUUUGAAAAUCUUAGACUCAGAUAAAU